AACGAACGCUGGCGGCAUGCCUUACACAUGCAAGUCGAACGAGACCUUCGGGUCUAGUGGCGCACGGGUGCGUAACGCGUGGGAACCUGCCCUUAGGUUCGGAAUAACUCCCCGAAACUAGUGCUAAUACCGGCUAAUGUCUUCGGACCAAAGAUUUAUCGCCUUUGGAUGGGCCCGCGUUGGAUUAGCUAGUUGGUAGGGUAAAAGCCUACCAAGGCGACGAUCCAUAGCUGGUCUGAGAGGAUGAUCAGACACACUGGGACUGAGACACGGCCCAGACUUCUACGGGAGGCAGCAGUGGGGAAUCUUGGACAAUGGGCGAAAGCAUGAUCCAGCUAUGCCGCGUGAGUGAUGAAGGACUUAGGGUUGUAAAGCUCUUUUACACGCGAUGAUAAUGACAGUACCGUGAGAAUAAGCUCCGGCUAACUCCGUG
Molecule: ribosomal RNA, 433 nt
Filed under: uncultured bacterium
Lineage: Bacteria
Description: partial 16S ribosomal RNA
Rfam family: Bacterial small subunit ribosomal RNA
Source: RNAcentral